Molecule: long non-coding RNA, 206 nt
Organism: Aricia agestis (brown argus)
Lineage: Eukaryota; Metazoa; Arthropoda; Insecta; Lepidoptera; Lycaenidae
Exons: 3
Source: RefSeq, a predicted model, not a curated record
ACAUAAAAGGAACAAAUCACAUCAUAUAGAAUAACAUACAGUUCUAACAUAACUAAAACAAUAAAACUAAUUUUUAUGUGCAAUUUUUAAUUUUAAAAAAUAAAUUCUUUUUAUACAUAUUUUAAACUUCUUAAUUUAAAGUUGGGCACAUUUUACUAAUGUUAAUAAUAUGCGAUUAAAUUUAAAAUACGUUUAGUAUACAUAUU